This 443-nucleotide ribosomal RNA is filed under the name uncultured bacterium. RNAcentral's name for it is "partial 16S ribosomal RNA". It matches the Rfam family "Bacterial small subunit ribosomal RNA", at positions 331 to 792 of the family's 1533-position model. The record is from RNAcentral.
CCAGACUCCUACGGGAGGCAGCAGUGGGGAUAUUGCACAAUGGGGGGAACCCUGAUGCAGCGACGCCGCGUGAAGGAAGAAGUAUCUCGGUAUGUAAACUUCUAUCAGCAGGGAAGAAAAUGACGGUACCUGACCAAGAAGCCCCGGCUAACUACGUGCCAGCAGCCGCGGUAAUACGGGGGAUGCAAGCGUUGUCCGGAAUCAUUGGGCGUAAAGAGUUCGUAGGUGGCACGUUAAGUCUGGUGUUAAAUGCAGAGGCUCAACCUCUGUUCGGCACUGGAUACUGGCGAGCUUGAAUGCGGUAGAGGUAAAGGGAAUUCCUGGUGUAGCGGUGAAAUGCGUAGAUAUCAGGAGGAACAUCGGUGGCGAAGGCGGCCUGCUGGACUGCGACUGACGUUGAGGCCCGAAAGCGUGGGGAGCAAACAGGAUUAGAUACCCUUGUA